CUGACAGCACAGAAAACUGAAGUCCUCUUUUUGUCCACUAAACAGGUACAGCAUGAGUAGCAGCAGUACAAGCUUCACCACACUGCCCCACCUAAGUGCUGCAAACCCUGACCUAGAGACCUCUAGCAAGGGUUAAGAGGCUUGUUCAGCCUCCAUGCUCACUCAUUCGUUACU
This is an unclassified non-coding RNA of Apteryx haastii (Great spotted kiwi), 174 nucleotides long. The record is from Ensembl. NCBI's taxonomy places the organism in Eukaryota, Metazoa, Chordata, Aves, Apterygiformes, Apterygidae.